RNAcentral lists this signal recognition particle RNA (103 nucleotides) under pig gut metagenome. RNAcentral's name for it is "Bacteroidales small SRP". It matches the Rfam family "Bacteroidales small SRP". From Rfam's summary of the family: The non-coding component of the signal recognition particle in Bacteroides The record is from RNAcentral.
CACCCGGGAAAGUCCUACACGACCAGCUCCCUCUGAACUCCGCCAGGUCUUGACAGAAGCAACGGUAAGAGGUUGUAGCGGUGCGAUGUAGUUCGCUUUCCCU